AGAGUUUGAUCCUGGCUCAGAACGAACGCUGGCGGCAGGCUUAACACAUGCAAGUCGAGCGGGUAGCAAUACCAGCGGCAGACGGGUGAGUAACACGUGGGAACCUUCCUAGAGGUACGGAACAACGCAGGGAACUUGCGCUAAUACCGUAUGUGCUCUUGCGAGGAAAGAUUUAUCGCCUUUAGACGGGCCCGCGUCGG
This 200-nucleotide ribosomal RNA is filed under the name uncultured bacterium. RNAcentral describes it as "partial 16S ribosomal RNA". It matches the Rfam family "Bacterial small subunit ribosomal RNA", at positions 8 to 239 of the family's 1533-position model. The record is from RNAcentral.